CAACGACACAACACUACAAUGUAACACACACAGAAACGGACCAAGCAUCAGACAAAAUCCCACGAGAAUAACAAAUAUAAGAUCAAAACCAAAUACAAGAAUCUAAGUUCAGUAUUUUUGUGAUUUUACUUUUUAUUAUAUAAUUAUUCGAAUUUGAAAAAAUAUUAUGUUAUAUAUAUUCCGAUUGGAAAAAAUAUUAUAUAAUAUCUUUUCCGACC
RNAcentral lists this long non-coding RNA (218 nucleotides) under Mytilus galloprovincialis (Mediterranean mussel). Lineage: Eukaryota; Metazoa; Mollusca; Bivalvia; Mytilida; Mytilidae. The record is from RNAcentral.